CCCAUUGUUUUGUUGUUACCGUGGUACUUCAAUUAGCUCUCAUGUUGCAUCAUUGCUUUUUCCAUCAACUUAGUUAAAUUUUCUGUCAAAAUUAAAGACAAAUUGGGAAAUUCAUAAAUAAAUAAAUAAAUAUAUAUCUCUCUCUCUCCUCCCCAACUCUGCGCUCUCCCACUUUCCCGACGAUUUCUUUUUCCUCCAUUCCCAUGACUACUACUUGCAAGCUCCAACCCUCAAACCUAUCCUAGAGCCACCUUUUACCCUAGCUUGCAACCCUAGCACCCACGAAUCCAGAACCCCAACCCCAAUCGCUUUUUUUGUUCCCGGGGGGGGGGGGGCGCGCGGUGGGAGGGGGAGAGGAGAGGAAGAGGAUGGGUUCUGUGUGUCUGGAGUAAGUGGCGAUUUUCUCAGCAUCCUCAUUUCUUGAAUUCCAAAGCUUGCUUGAAAUUUUGCAAGUUUGCAAAUUUACAAGGGCAAAUGGAUCUCAAAGCCGUGCAUGUCUUAAACAUUCCUAGUCUCCACGAAAUCACAGGUUGUCCAUUCUUCAUGCUUGGCUCAAGGUGAUAACCAUUCCAUCAAAUUGCUUUGAAUUAUAUAUAAUAGAAAAAGAAAAAAAAGAAAGUGGUUUUGAUCUUGAUCUUGUGUUUUGUGAAUAGGUCUGAAGGAUGAAGCUGAGGAGAGAGAGAGAGAGAGAGAAAGAGAAGAAAACCGCAAGGGGGAUGGGUUUUGUGUGUCUGGGUUUGUGUGAGAGAGAAAGAGAGAGAGAUGGAGAAAUUGAGGAAGAAGAAAAUGGCCGGAGAAAGGGAGAAGAAGAAAAUCGCAGAGAUGAGAUUUUUUUUUAAUGAAAAAAUUUGUUUGAAAAUACAUUUUUGCCCAUGCCAAAUAGAACUUGUCUAUGUCACGUCAUUAUUUUUAACUGAAAAAUUGACUGAGAUGAUGGAAAGGACAAUAUCUGAAAAUGGAGGCAUAAUUAAAGUACCACGGUAACAACAAAACAAUAAGAGGGAUGAAAAAUAAAGUUUGGUCUUAGUCUAGGACCAUUGCUACAAUUUAACCUAGUAAUUAUGACACUCAUAAAUCAUAAUUUAAAAUGUUAAUUUUAGUUAGAGAAAUAAAGUUAG
RNAcentral lists this long non-coding RNA (1118 nucleotides) under Prunus persica (peach). RNAcentral's name for it is "long non-coding RNA (PPER_LNC000405)". Lineage: Eukaryota; Viridiplantae; Streptophyta; Magnoliopsida; Rosales; Rosaceae. The record is from RNAcentral.